RNAcentral lists this ribosomal RNA (207 nucleotides) under uncultured bacterium. RNAcentral's name for it is "partial 16S ribosomal RNA". It matches the Rfam family "Bacterial small subunit ribosomal RNA", at positions 568 to 774 of the family's 1533-position model. The record is from RNAcentral.
CGCGUAGGCGGCUUGGUAAGUCAUCUGUGAAAUCCCGGUGCUCAACGCCGGGGCUGCAGGUGAGACUGCCUGGCUGGAGCUUGGUAGGGGCGAGUGGAAUUCCCGGUGUAGCGGUGGAAUGCGUAGAGAUCGGGAAGAACACCAGUGGCGAAGGCGGCUCGCUGGGCCAAUGCUGACGCUGAUGCGCGAAAGCGUGGGGAGCAAACA